Molecule: long non-coding RNA, 219 nt
Filed under: Panax ginseng (ginseng)
Lineage: Eukaryota; Viridiplantae; Streptophyta; Magnoliopsida; Apiales; Araliaceae
Description: long non-coding RNA (PGIN_LNC001533)
Source: RNAcentral
GAUCAUAUGGCAGACCUAUAUAAAUAUUUCAUUUAAUUUUUAUUCGGUUAUAAUUUCUUUUGUACUCAAGUUCAAGUCAGUGAGUUGGCAUUCAAGGACGAUCAGAUCUUCCUUGAACCAUUCAAUUUCAAUCAAACACAGAAUUGUAAGAGAGAGAGAGAGAGAGAGAGAGAGAGAGAGAUGCAGUAGUAGUACGUAGUUUAAGAAGAAAGAUACUUG